This 647-nucleotide ribosomal RNA is filed under the name uncultured Basidiomycota. RNAcentral describes it as "LSU rRNA". It matches the Rfam family "Eukaryotic large subunit ribosomal RNA", at positions 1 to 635 of the family's 3401-position model. Lineage: Eukaryota; Fungi; Basidiomycota. The record is from RNAcentral.
CCUCAAAUCAGGCAGGACUACCCGCUGAACUUAAGCAUAUCAAUAAGCGGAGGAAAAGAAACUAACAAGGAUUCCCCUAGUAACUGCGAGUGAAGCGGGAAAAGCUCAAAUUUAAAAUCUGGCGGCUUCGCCGUCCGAGUUGUAAUCUGGAGAAGCGUUUUCCGUGUUGGACCGUGUACAAGUCUCUUGGAACAGAGCGUCAUAGAGGGUGAGAAUCCCGUCUUUGACACGGACUACCAAUGCUUUGUGAUACGCUCUCGAAGAGUCGAGUUGUUUGGGAAUGCAGCUCAAAAUGGGUGGUAAAUUCCAUCUAAAGCUAAAUAUUGGCGAGAGACCGAUAGCGAACAAGUACCGUGAGGGAAAGAUGAAAAGCACUUUGGAAAGAGAGUUAAACAGUACGUGAAAUUGUUGAAAGGGAAACGCUUGAAGUCAGUCGCGUUGUCCGGGACUCAGCCUUGCUUCUGCUUGGUGUAUUUCCUGGUUGACGGGCCAACAUCGAUUUUGGACGGCGGAUAAAGGUGAGGGGAAUGUGGCAUCCUCGGAUGUGUUAUAGCCUCUCGUCGGAUGCGUCGUCUGGGAUCGAGGACCGCAGCACGCCUUUUUGGCCGGGGUUCGCCCACGUAACGUGCUUAGGAUGUUGGCAUAAU